Nilaparvata lugens (brown planthopper) is the source of this 1215-nucleotide long non-coding RNA. RefSeq lists it as uncharacterized. The record is from RefSeq and is a predicted model, not a curated record. Lineage: Eukaryota; Metazoa; Arthropoda; Insecta; Hemiptera; Delphacidae. The transcript has 4 exons.
CUCUUAAUUCAAUUGCUAUUGAUUUGCCUAAAACGCUACAAAAACAUUGUUAGGUUAGGAAUGCUUCUUACUGGUCACAUGGUAUUUAAAUUGUAACGGUUUGUAGCUUAAAUGUCAAUUUAAAUAUAUAUUUAUUUUUCAAAUGAAAUCCAGCUCCAUUCAUGAGGGUAGUAUCCAGUCAAUAUUGUAUGUAUGGUGAAGUGAGGCUAUUAGUUUGAAUUCCAAACGUGUAAAUUGAGUCGAUUCACUGGAUUCGCACAAACCUGAAUAAACCCAUAUCGUGGUACGUCACUAGUUAUGAAAAAACUAUAAGAAUCCUUCUCGGAUCUGAAGCGAGUACGAGCAUACUCUGAUCACCUUAUAUCCAGCAAGUUACAAAAGUUUGCACAAUUAUUUUACGUAAGAGUAGGUACUAAUAUUAUUAACAAAACAUUCAAUAAAAUGAAUAUGAGUACAUUCUCAUUUUAGAGAUAUAAACAGUUGAAGUCUCGUAAACUCUCGUAACUAUUACGAUAAAGAAGAGAUGAAUAAGCGUAUGCUAUUAUCCUACCUUCUAGGAGUCUCAUAUUAUUAGGCUGGUUGAACAUGUUAUUACUAACGGUUGAGAACAUGCAUGAUGCACAUACAAAUACACAUCACAUUCACAUACACAUAUACACAUACACAGCAUGUUAAUCGUCAGCGAGAGGCUUCUAACAUGAAAUAAACAACCAAUAACAAUAAAAACACCACUGGAAAAUUACAAAUGAUAUUGAUAGAAGAAUAAUUUAACCUCAAAUAAAAAAUAAGCGAAUAAAAAAUGAGCUAAAAGUCGGAGAUGUAAGAACCUCAAAAAAUGUUUCUUGAUGCGUUUCGCUUUGAUCACAGCUGUGAUGAUACAAGAAUGUAUGACGACUGUGUAUCAGGCAUGUUCCACCGUUAGUGGCCAGCCUAAGUGGAUUGAAAUAGCCAAUAAUACGGGAAGUGUGAUGAUACAGGUUCUGAUAUAAUUCUCCAUCAAUAUAAUCGUCGUUGAGUUGAGGCUCAAAGCCAAUAUUGUAUUGUCAAUCAAUAUUGCAGAGCCAAUCAUUGUCAGGAAGCUCCCUCUAAAAAUAUCACAAGUGAUAAGUCUUUUAGGUGCAUUGCAAACAAGGAUUUCUGACAUAAUAGGUGGUUGACCUUGACAUCGUAUUUAGUUUUCAGUCUCAUGUGUGAGUUGUUAAUAAAUUAGUUACA